Micropterus dolomieu (smallmouth bass) is the source of this 873-nucleotide long non-coding RNA. RefSeq lists it as uncharacterized. NCBI's taxonomy places the organism in Eukaryota, Metazoa, Chordata, Actinopteri, Centrarchiformes, Centrarchidae. The transcript has 5 exons. The record is from RefSeq and is a predicted model, not a curated record.
ACACCCUACCUUCAACAAGGAUGUCAUAUGUUACCUGAUUUUGCGUGGGACCAAGUUUGCAAACACAAUACAAAAAUAAGGCUUAAAGAAAAUGGCUAUAUUCUAAGUGCCUUUGAAAUUAGGAAAACAUGGGACUGCAGGACAGUCAUUGCAGAGCUUCCCGUUUACUGGCAUGUUUUGCCAGUCUAUCAACACUUUCAUUCCCCUCCACCUCCACAUGUGCUGGAACCCAUGUCUUAACCCUCAAACCCAUCUGACGAAUCCAACUGCUCUAGAGUCUGAGUGUAUGACAACUUUUGCUGGUUUAACUUCCUCGACCCUCUGCAAUACCAACGAAACAGCGACCAACUCCACGAUUUAGGGAGGGGCUGAAGACCUUUGGUGUUCUGGAUGCAAUCAGAAUGCAUCCAGACAGUUUUCUACCCUUACUAUGUCACAAACCAUCCCUACUCGCAACAAGAGAAAGGAGCAUGUUGUUCCCUUCUGGAGAUGUUACCUGCAGGAUGUUGAAGGUGCAAGUGUCAUCCCUCCAUUUGGCUUCUCUCCUCAACCAUCAAUUGAUUUCCUGCAUGAUCAGUUGGUCAGCUCCAGACGUCAUUUGCCUAUGGCAAGUACCUGCAUCAGCUGCCUUAAGUUGGCACUGCUUGACAGGUAUGAGAAUUUUAAGGAGACUAUGGACUUUGCUGUAGGUAAUACACAGGGUUUUGCUAGAGAGUAAUGUAGGAAACAACGCUGUUGAGGAUGGUUCAGUUGUAUGAACAAAUGAGCUACUGUUUGUUUUUUUUUAUUUGUUUAAAAAAUAUUGCAUUUGAUGCAAACUGUUACAGUUCAAAAAUAGAAUCACCUUUUUCAGUGAUAAGCCAGAACCUGUUU